Molecule: ribosomal RNA, 639 nt
Filed under: Triticum aestivum (bread wheat)
Lineage: Eukaryota; Viridiplantae; Streptophyta; Magnoliopsida; Poales; Poaceae
Description: partial small subunit ribosomal RNA
Source: RNAcentral
AUGCGCAAGACUGCAGCCAAGGCGAAGCAGGUUUCCUCUGCCAGCCCAUGGUAUGGUGCCGACCGUGUGUUGUACCUUGGCCCACUCUCCGGUGAGCCCCCGAGCUACCUCACCGGUGAGUUCCCUGGCGAUUAUGGUUGGGACACUGCCGGACUUUCAGCUGACCCAGAGACCUUCUCCAAGAACCGGGAGUUGGAGGUGAUCCACUGCCGUUGGGCCAUGCUUGGGGCACUUGGUUGUGUCUUCCCUGAGUUGCUCGCCCGCAACAGCGUCAAGUUUGGUGAGGCCGUUUGGUUCAAGGCCGGCUCCCAGAUCUUUAGUGAGGGUGGUCCCGACUACCUCGGCAACCCCAACCUUGGGUACCGCGUUGCCGGGGGCCCACUUGGCGAGAUUGUUGACCUACUAUACCCAGGAGGCAGCUUUGACCCUCUCGGCCUAGCUGACGACCCCGAGGCAUUCGCCGAGCUCAAGGUGAAGGAGAUCAAGAACGGUCGCCUCGCCAUGUUCUCAAUGUUCGGCUUCUUUGUCCAAGCUAUCGUCAUGGGCAAGGGCCCACUUGAGAACCUCGCUGACCACAUCGCUGACCCAGUCAACAACAACGCAUGGGCGUUUGCCACCAACUUUGUCCCCGGCAAGUAA